RNAcentral lists this long non-coding RNA (206 nucleotides) under Gallus gallus (chicken). Lineage: Eukaryota; Metazoa; Chordata; Aves; Galliformes; Phasianidae. The record is from RNAcentral.
AGGAUGGCUUCCGUCUCGAUCUCAUCCCACGGCAGGAAGCGGUUGUUCAGGCUGUUCUUCUCUGUGCGGACAACCAUGAUCGGGACACCAAUGUCUGGCCAUAAGAGAUCCUCAGAGGGAAGCUUGGGAGAGUUCCACACUACCACAACUUUAUUUAAGUACGGGAGACCAUUGAGCCUUUCUAGGGAGUUCAUCAACACUUCCUC